This 485-nucleotide long non-coding RNA is filed under the name Brassica napus (rape). Its description in RNAcentral is "long non-coding RNA (BNAP_LNC018483)". Lineage: Eukaryota; Viridiplantae; Streptophyta; Magnoliopsida; Brassicales; Brassicaceae. The record is from RNAcentral.
UCUUGGUUUGUACAUUUCGAUGGGUGUGUGUUGGUUUGUGUCUUAUGUUUUCAUGUUUUAAUGUUUUCAUUUUCAUCAAUGUAUGUUGAUUGUUAUUAUAUGUUGUGUCUUCUUAUGUCAUCUUUCUUAUUAAUAAAGCAUAAUAAUCUUAAAAUCGUGACAGAAAGUGAUGAAGUUUAAGAAAACAUCCAACCAAAAUAACAUCAUCCUACAGAGUUUUAGAAAAGUGAGACAAGUUAAAUACAAGAAGAUAAUGAAAGAGAUAAAUCCUAAGAGUCUUGAGGUGGUUGUUCUUGAGAACAUUGUGGAGCAGGCCCCCAUACAUCAAACACACGACCAGAGAAAUGAGCAAUAUAGCAACCAGACUCUCUUGGAAUAGGAGGCUCACGCUCACUUCCACGAGCUCGACCAAGCCCUCUCCCUCUUCCACGGGGACAACAACGCUUCAUUGCAAGCCUCCUAAUCUCCUCGAGCAUGUUAAUCCA